RNAcentral lists this transfer RNA (69 nucleotides) under marine eukaryotic metagenome. It matches the Rfam family "tRNA". From Rfam's summary of the family: Transfer RNA (tRNA) molecules are approximately 80 nucleotides in length. Their secondary structure includes four short double-helical elements and three loops (D, anti-codon, and T loops). The record is from RNAcentral.
CCCAUAGCUCAGUUGGUUAGAGCAUCUGACUCAUAAUCAGAGGGUCGCAGGUUCGAGCCCUGCUGGGCC